AGCAAAUGCAACUCUGGGAUGUAGCUGAAUAUCAAAUAAUUAGGCAAAUUUGUGCGCGCAUAGUGUUUUUUCCGGAAAAUUUUCGUUGUUUUCGUAAAAUAUUGAGUUUUGUGAAAUAAUAUAUAUGUAAAUCUUGCAUUAGCGAAAUAUUGAUUUUCUUUUUAAAUAAGAUUUAGACACUUUGUAUUUGCAAUACACGUGAGUCGUGUGCUAGCAGAGGUUUUACAAAUAUCGGCCUCGUGGAGAUUUGGAAGUUUCUGGCCAAACAACAAACAACCAACAAAAAAAAUGCCGAAAAGAUGUGUAUGCAGAUGUGCAGAAGUAAGCUCCCUCUACAAGUUUCCUUUGGCCUCGGAUGUAUCAAGGCUUAUUGACCAAGAAUGAUACGGGAAGUAAAUGAUCANGAGUUUUGUGAAAUAAUAUAUAUGUAAAUCUUGC
Molecule: long non-coding RNA, 438 nt
Organism: Rhagoletis zephyria (snowberry fruit fly)
Lineage: Eukaryota; Metazoa; Arthropoda; Insecta; Diptera; Tephritidae
Source: RefSeq, a predicted model, not a curated record